Molecule: ribosomal RNA, 465 nt
Filed under: uncultured bacterium
Lineage: Bacteria
Description: partial 16S ribosomal RNA
Rfam family: Bacterial small subunit ribosomal RNA
Source: RNAcentral
GACGAACGCUGGCGGCGUGCUUAACACAUGCAAGUCGAACGGAAAGGCCCCUUUGGGGGUACUCGAGUGGCGUACGGGUGAGUAACACGUGAGUAACCUGCCCUUGACUUCGGGAUAACUUCAGGAAACUGGGGCUAAUACCGGAUAGGAAUCCUUGCUGCAUGGUGGGGGUUGGAAAGCUUCGGUGGUUUUGGAUGGACUCGCGGCCUAUCAGCUUGUUGGUGGGGUAGUGGCUUACCAAGGCUUUGACGGGUAGCCGGCCUGAGAGGGCGACCGGCCACAUUGGGACUGGGACACAGACCAGACUCCUACGGGAGGCAGAAGUAGGGAAUAUUGCACAAUGGGCAGGAGCCUGAUGCAGCAACGCCGCGGGCGGGAUGACGGCCAUCGGGUUGUAAACCGCUUUCAGCAGGGGCGAAGCUUGUGGUGACGGUACCUGCAGAAGAAGCACCGGCUAACUACGUG